UUAAAAAUACUAGAUUUAGUGCUGGCAGAAUUUAUUAUAUUGCAUUUGAUUUGCUCGGUGGUUUUACUUAGUUCUUCUGACUAAGCUUUAUAACAUCAAUGGUUAUUCAGUUGAUGGUUGAUGACAAUAAACCUGCUACUGAUGGACAGCUUCAAGUCCCUAAUUAAGGUGAACGAGAGUGCAAGAAGCCAAGAUUAGCAGAAGGCUUUGGGUGCCAGGCUGAGGCUGCCGUUUAGUCAGGUCCAGUGAUUGAAGUAACAAAAGGCAUUUAGCAGGGGGUUGUAACAGUGACUGCAUUGUUGUUUCUCCUGUUAUUCGAGUAGAUGGUGUGAAAAAUGGGCACCAGUUAUCAUGGGCCAUCUGUAAACAAGACCUAUUAUGACUGCAUCCUUAAGAACAUGUUUCCUGUCAUGUGAAUUGUUGGCAUGCUUUGAGCCUAUGGUACUUUUGGUUUA
Long non-coding RNA from Phragmites australis (common reed), 455 nucleotides. RefSeq lists it as uncharacterized. The record is from RefSeq and is a predicted model, not a curated record. The transcript is spliced from 2 exons. Lineage: Eukaryota; Viridiplantae; Streptophyta; Magnoliopsida; Poales; Poaceae.